UGGGGAUUUUAAACUUAGGCUGCUAACUUGAGUUGGGGAAAUAAAUAUUUUCCAUCUUCAU
This 61-nucleotide transfer RNA is filed under the name Phyllidiopsis krempfi. RNAcentral describes it as "tRNA-Ser". The record is from RNAcentral. Lineage: Eukaryota; Metazoa; Mollusca; Gastropoda; Nudibranchia; Phyllidiidae.